Molecule: long non-coding RNA, 214 nt
Filed under: Brassica napus (rape)
Lineage: Eukaryota; Viridiplantae; Streptophyta; Magnoliopsida; Brassicales; Brassicaceae
Description: long non-coding RNA (BNAP_LNC022538)
Source: RNAcentral
ACUUUAAAUUAAUAAAUAAUUGUAGCACAAAUUGUUCUAAUUUCUAUACGAAUACUGGUCUGAGUCAAAACUUUCCUAUAAUAAUUUUUCGAAUGCUAAUUUGUGAAUAUAUAAUGGAAAGUAAAUAAAUUUAAUAAUAUUUUCCCAAUAUAUAUGGCAUUCAAUGUCUUCCGCGUUCUAGUGUGAAUCAAGAAAUAAUUUUUCGAAUGCCCAA